This 207-nucleotide unclassified non-coding RNA is filed under the name soil metagenome. RNAcentral describes it as "partial contains 5.8S ribosomal RNA, internal transcribed spacer 2, and large subunit ribosomal RNA". The record is from RNAcentral.
AACCAUAGAAACCUGCGGAGUACCUGCGGAAGGAUCAUUACCGAGUUUACAACUCCCAAACCCCUGUGAACAUACCUAUACGUUGCCUCGGCGGAUCAGCCCGCGCCCCGUAAAACGGGACGGCCCGCCCGAGGACCCUAAACUCUGUUUUUAGUGGAACUUCUGAGUAAAACAAACAAAUAAAUCAAAACUUUUAGCAAUGGAUCU